UUUCCCUAUGAUGAUUUAUUAUCUUGAAAGUAGUGGACUGAAUUUCCUUGAGGAGAAAUGAAAUCUGAGGGAUG
This is a non-coding RNA of Glycine soja, 74 nucleotides long. The record is from Rfam. NCBI's taxonomy places the organism in Eukaryota, Viridiplantae, Streptophyta, Magnoliopsida, Fabales, Fabaceae.